UAAGUUUGUUAUUGGUAUGAGCUUUUGUGUGCAUGCACAUGAAAGCCCAUACCAAUAACAAACUUA
Non-coding RNA from Podarcis lilfordi (Lilford's wall lizard), 66 nucleotides. Lineage: Eukaryota; Metazoa; Chordata; Lepidosauria; Squamata; Lacertidae. The record is from the annotation of a GenBank genome assembly.